GUGGUAAUGCCGGAUGCUCCAGUUGACCGCAUGGUCUUCUGGGAAAGCUUUCGCGGUAUGGGAUGGGGUCGCGUCCUAUCAGCUUGACGGCGGGGUAACGGCCCACCGUGGCUUCGACGGGUAGCCGGCCUGAGAGGGCGACCGGCCACAUUGGGACUGAGAUACGGCCCAGACUCCUACGGGAGGCAGCAGUGGGGAAUAUUGCACAAUGGGCGCAAGCCUGAUGCAGCGACGCCGCGUGAGGGAUGGAGGCCUUCGGGUUGUAAACCUCUUUUAUCGGGGAGCAAGCGAGAGUGAGUUUACCCGUUGAAUAAGCACCGGCUAACUACGUGCCAGCAGCCGCGGUAAUACGUAGGGUGCAAGCGUUAUCCGGAAUUAUUGGGCGUAAAGGGCUCGUAGGCGGUUCGUCGCGUCCGGUGUGAAAGUCCAUCGCUUAACGGUGGAUCCGCGCCGGGUACGGGCGGGCUUGAGUGCGGUAGGGGAGACUGGAAUUCCCGGUGUAACGGUGGAAUGUGUAGAUAUCGG
This 525-nucleotide ribosomal RNA is filed under the name Bifidobacterium longum. RNAcentral's name for it is "bacterial SSU rRNA". It matches the Rfam family "Bacterial small subunit ribosomal RNA", at positions 160 to 700 of the family's 1533-position model. Lineage: Bacteria; Bacillati; Actinomycetota; Actinomycetes; Bifidobacteriales; Bifidobacteriaceae. The record is from RNAcentral.